Molecule: ribosomal RNA, 588 nt
Filed under: uncultured bacterium
Lineage: Bacteria
Description: bacterial SSU rRNA
Rfam family: Bacterial small subunit ribosomal RNA
Source: RNAcentral
ACGGGUGCGGAACACGUGUGCAACCUGCCUUUAUCUGGGGGAUAGCCUUUCGAAAGGGAGAUUAAUACCCCAUAAUAUACUGAGUGGCAUCACUUAUUAUUGAAAACUCCGGUGGAUAGAGAUGGGCACGCGCAAGAUUAGAUAGUUGGUGAGGUAACGGCUCACCAAGUCAAUGAUCUUUAGGGGGCCUGAGAGGGUGAUCCCCCACACUGGUACUGAGACACGGACCAGACUCCUACGGGAGGCAGCAGUGAGGAAUAUUGGACAAUGGGUGAGAGCCUGAUCCAGCCAUCCCGCGUGAAGGUCGACGGCCCUAUGGGUUGUAAACUUCUUUUGUACAGGGAUAAACCUAUUUACGUGUAAAUAGCUGAAGGUACUGUACGAAUAAGCACCGGCUAACUCCGUGCCAGCAGCCGCGGUAAUACGGAGGGUGCAAGCGUUAUCCGGAUUUAUUGGGUUUAAAGGGUCCGUAGGCGGAUCCGUAAGUCAGUGGUGAAAUCUCAUAGCUUAACUAUGAAACUGCCAUUGAUACUGCGGGUCUUGAGUAAGGUAGAAGUAGCUGGAAUAAGUAGUGUAGCGGUGAAAUGC